GAUGAACGCUAGCGACAGGCUUAACACAUGCAAGUCGAGGGGCAGCGGGGUAGGAAGCUUGCUUUCUGCCGCCGGCGACCGGCGCACGGGUGAGUAACACGUAUGCAACCUGGCCGUGACAGAUGGAUAACCGGGAGAAAUCCCGCCUAAUACAACAUAAUGCCGGGAGGGGACAUCCCCUGCCGGUCAAAGGGGGCGACCCCGGUCAUGGAUGGGCAUGCGGCGCAUUAGGUAGUUGGUGGGGCAACGGCCCACCAAGCCGACGAUGCGUAGGGGUUCUGAGAGGAAGGUCCCCCACAUUGGGACUGAGACACGGCCCAA
RNAcentral lists this ribosomal RNA (321 nucleotides) under uncultured bacterium. RNAcentral's name for it is "bacterial SSU rRNA". It matches the Rfam family "Bacterial small subunit ribosomal RNA", at positions 28 to 334 of the family's 1533-position model. The record is from RNAcentral.